AUUGAACGCUGGCGGAAUGCUUUACACAUGCAAGUCGAACGGUAGAGGGGGCAACCCCUUGAGAGUGGCGAACGGGUGAGUAAUAUAUCGGAACGUGCCCAGUCGUGGGGAUAACGUAGCGAAAGUUACGCUAAUACCGCAUACGAUCUAAGGAUGAAAGCGGGGGAUCGCAAGACCUCGCGCGAUUGGAGCGGCCGAUAUCAGAUUAGGUAGUUGGUGAGGUAAAGGCUCACCAAGCCAACGAUCUGUAGCUGGUCUGAGAGGACGACCAGCCACACUGGAACUGAGACACGGUCCAGACUCCUACGGGAGGCAGCAGUGGGGAAUUUUGGACAAUGGACGCAAGUCUGAUCCAGCCAUUCCGCGUGCAGGAUGAAGGCCCUCGGGUUGUAAACUGCUUUUGUACGGAACGAAAAGGUUUGUCUUAAUACGAUGAGCUCAUGACGGUACCGUAAGAAUAAGCACCGGCUAACUACGUGCCAG
This 483-nucleotide ribosomal RNA is filed under the name uncultured bacterium. RNAcentral describes it as "bacterial SSU rRNA". It matches the Rfam family "Bacterial small subunit ribosomal RNA", at positions 30 to 511 of the family's 1533-position model. The record is from RNAcentral.